CUCUGCUGCGGAUUCCAACAAGGUAGCGGCUAGUUCCUGGCCAGUAGAAGGACCCUGGUGAUGUCACAGACCAUGUGACUGUUUGGUCACAUGGUACAGAGAAGUACAGGAAGUGAUCACCAGCCAUGCGGCUGCUCUGCUAAACAGGGGAGCUGAUGUGGAGGAAAUAAACUUCAGCUACAGUGGCAGAUGAGAAAAAUAAAUU
Molecule: long non-coding RNA, 205 nt
Organism: Rana temporaria (common frog)
Lineage: Eukaryota; Metazoa; Chordata; Amphibia; Anura; Ranidae
Exons: 2
Source: RefSeq, a predicted model, not a curated record